This 253-nucleotide ribosomal RNA is filed under the name uncultured bacterium. RNAcentral's name for it is "partial 16S ribosomal RNA". It matches the Rfam family "Bacterial small subunit ribosomal RNA", at positions 524 to 776 of the family's 1533-position model. The record is from RNAcentral.
GACAGAGGGUGCAAACGUUGUUCGGAAUUACUGGGCGUAAAGCGCACGUAGGCGGGUUGUUAGGUCAGGGGUGAAAUCCUGGAGCUCAACUCCAGAACUGCCUUUGAUACUGGCAACCUAGAGACUGGAAGAGGUUAGUGGAAUUCCCAGUGUAGAGGUGAAAUUCGUAGAUAUUGGGAAGAACACCAGUGGCGAAGGCGGCUAACUGGUCCAGCACUGACGCUGAGGUGCGAAAGCGUGGGGAGCAAACAGG